UCGAGAAUUUUUCUCAAUGGGGGCAACCCUGAAGGAGCGACGCCGCGUGGAGGAUGAAGGUCUUCGGAUUGUAAACUCCUGUCAUUGGUGAACAAAAUCCCCGGUUAACUGCCGGCGGAAUUGAUAGUAGCCGAAGAGGAAGGGACGGCUAACUCUGUGCCAGCAGCCGCGGUAAUACAGAGGUCCCGAGCGUUGUUCGGAUUCAUUGGGCGUAAAGGGUGCGUAGGCGGCGGGGUAAGUCUGAUGUGAAAUCCUGGGGCUCAACCCCGGAACUGCAUUGGAUACUGCCUUGCUUGAGAACUGGAGAGGAGACUGGAAUUUACGGUGUAGCAGUGAAAUGCGUAGAGAUCGUAAGGAAGACCAGUGGCGAAGGCGAGUCUCUGGACAGAUUCUGACGCUGAGGCACGAAGGCCAGGGGAGCAAACGG
This 427-nucleotide ribosomal RNA is filed under the name uncultured bacterium. RNAcentral's name for it is "bacterial SSU rRNA". It matches the Rfam family "Bacterial small subunit ribosomal RNA", at positions 355 to 775 of the family's 1533-position model. The record is from RNAcentral.